ACGGGUGAGUAAUGUCUGGGAAACUGCCUGAUGGAGGGGGAUAACUACUGGAAACGGUAGCUAAUACCGCAUAACGUCGCAAGACCAAAGAGGGGGACCUUCGGGCCUCUUGCCAUCAGAUGUGCCCAGAUGGGAUUAGCUAGUAGGUGGGGUAACGGCUCACCUAGGCGACGAUCCCUAGCUGGUCUGAGAGGAUGACCAGCCACACUGGAACUGAGACACGGUCCAGACUCCUACGGGAGGCAGCAGUGGGGAAUAUUGCACAAUGGGCGCAAGCCUGAUGCAGCCAUGCCGCGUGUAUGAAGAAGGCCUUCGGGUUGUAAAGUACUUUCAGCGGGGAGGAAGGUGUUGAGGUUAAUAACCUCAGCAAUUGACGUUACCCGCAGAAGAAGCACCGGCUAACUCCGUGCCAGCAGCCGCGGUAAUACGGAGGGUGCAAGCGUUAAUCGGAAUUACUGGGCGUAAAGCGCACGCAGGCGGUCUGUCAAGUCGGAUGUGAAAUCCCCGGGCUCAACCUGGGAACUGCAUUCGAAACUGGCAGGCUAGAGUCUUGUAGAGGGGGGUAGAAUUCCAGGU
RNAcentral lists this ribosomal RNA (576 nucleotides) under uncultured bacterium. Its description in RNAcentral is "bacterial SSU rRNA". It matches the Rfam family "Bacterial small subunit ribosomal RNA", at positions 102 to 674 of the family's 1533-position model. The record is from RNAcentral.